CGUCCGUGCAGUCUCCUUCCCAAUCCCAUCGCAGCAUCGCCGCUACCGCACAACCGACGCCUGGUACAACGAGCGCGAUCCGAUCUAGAGCCCCCCUACUGGCGUCGGUCUUCCUCACCUCUGCCUCACUGGCUUAUCUCUCCUUUCCAUCUUUAAUCUAUUGCUUAAUCCAUGCUGUAGUUUCAAUCUACAAGGAGGCCACAAUCCAUCCAGCCUCUCUAUUUGAUCCCCUUCUUCUCUAAUCUUUGAAUCGUCUUUGGUUCCAAGUGCGAGUCUACGACCAUACUGGGAUGUAGAAUCUAUUUUCUAGAUUGUUAGUCAAUUGGAGGUGAAGAUGUGUACCGAUGGCUGUGUGAAGAAGCUCGGGGGACCAGGCGCGUUGGUCAGGCUGCUUAGUCCAUAGCACCCACUCAGCACGCAGUUGUAAACCAAAGAUGUGAGCCAGCUGCGUUCGUCCUGCAGCAUCAUCCGAAGGAUGACAAGGACACUCGAGCUCUGCUCUAUACUAUAGUUCCAGAUUGCUGAAUGGCAGAAAAUUUAGGUUGUCAUCGUAAUUUAUUGAUGAACACGAAUCAUCAUGCAGUAUUUUUCACCAUCGGAUAUCUACUUUGCAGGUUCUCUGUUUUGUGACCUGGUGGUAAAAGAUGAUCCAAAAGUCCCUAGAGUAGCUGUUGAUAGUGGCGCCAUCUGAGAUCAAUUGACAGGCGCGCUUUCGGUCCCUUCCGAGGUUCUGAUCAAAUAUGAAAGACGGAUGCCAACGAAGCGUUAUUGUUCGCCUCAUGUGUUGUAAAAACAGACCGUGUCCCCUAUUCAAUUAACUCUCUCCUAUCUUCGGUUUGUAAAGUGGAAUUAAUAUUAAAGAUACACGAAGGAGUUUCUACUAAUUCCUAAAUAAAUAUUCAGUAAACCUAA
Molecule: long non-coding RNA, 912 nt
Organism: Triticum aestivum (bread wheat)
Lineage: Eukaryota; Viridiplantae; Streptophyta; Magnoliopsida; Poales; Poaceae
Exons: 4
Source: RefSeq, a predicted model, not a curated record